Molecule: ribosomal RNA, 468 nt
Filed under: uncultured bacterium
Lineage: Bacteria
Description: partial 16S ribosomal RNA
Rfam family: Bacterial small subunit ribosomal RNA
Source: RNAcentral
GAUGAACGCUGGCGGCGUGCUUAGCACAUGCAAGUCGAACGGUGAAGGCGGAGCUUGCUCUGCUGGAUCAGUGGCGAACGGGUGAGUAACACGUGAGCAAUCUGCCCCUGACUCUGGGAUAAGCGCUGGAAACGGCGUCUAAUACUGGAUACGAGCUGCGAAGGCAUCUUCAGCAGCUGGAAAGAACUUCGGUCAGGGAUGAGCUCGCGGCCUAUCAGCUUGUUGGUGAGGUAACGGCUCACCAAGGCGUCGACGGGUAGCCGGCCUGAGAGGGUGACCGGCCACACUGGGACUGAGACACGGCCCAGACUCCUACGGGAGGCAGCAGUGGGGAAUAUUGCACAAUGGGCGAAAGCCUGAUGCAGCAACGCCGCGUGAGGGACGACGGCCUUCGGGUUGUAAACCUCUUUUAGCAGGGAAGAAGCGAAAGUGACGGUACCUGCAGAAAAAGCGCCGGCUAACUACGUG